This 272-nucleotide ribosomal RNA is filed under the name Clostridioides difficile. RNAcentral describes it as "partial 23S ribosomal RNA". It matches the Rfam family "Bacterial large subunit ribosomal RNA", at positions 1 to 272 of the family's 2925-position model. The record is from RNAcentral. Lineage: Bacteria; Bacillati; Bacillota; Clostridia; Peptostreptococcales; Peptostreptococcaceae.
UGGUCAAGUUAUUAAGGGUGCAGGGCGGAUGCCUUGGCACUAGGAGCCGAUGAAGGACGUGAUAAGCUGCGAUAAGCUUCGGGGAGUUGCACGUAAACUUUGAUCCGAAGAUUUCCGAAUGAGGAAACUCACUUAGAGUAAUGUCUAAGUAUCAUUAAGUGAAUACAUAGCUUAAUGAGGGGAACUCAGGGAACUGAAACAUCUAAGUACCUGAAGGAAGAGAAAGAAAUUCGAUUCCGUAAGUAGCGGCGAGCGAACGCGGAUUAGCCCAA